GCCUGCACCUACUGCUCAAUCCAUGCCUCCAUCUCAGCCUCGAGCAUAUGAAUAUCCACAUUACUAGAGUUCUCUGUAGUAUCCUGAGUGUAUCGACGUAUGUCAGAUAAUUGAGUGGGGAUGACUCUAAAUCUAUAACCUCUCACUCGAUCAUAGCGGUCUAGUCCCAGCAGCUGUAUCAUAACCUGGGUCUCGAUAUGUCUGGCCUUCAUAGAUACUGAGGACUCUUCAACAUGUCCAGCAA
This 244-nucleotide long non-coding RNA is filed under the name Elaeis guineensis (African oil palm). RNAcentral's name for it is "long non-coding RNA (EGUI_LNC055059)". Lineage: Eukaryota; Viridiplantae; Streptophyta; Magnoliopsida; Arecales; Arecaceae. The record is from RNAcentral.